AACGCGAAGAACCUUACCAGGUCUUGACAUCCCUCUGACCGGUCGGUAACGGGACCUUUCCUUCGGGACAGGGGAGACAGGUGGUGCAUGGUUGUCGUCAGCUCGUGUCGUGAGAUGUUGGGUUAAGUCCCGCAACGAGCGCAACCCCUAUUUCCAGUAGCCAGCAGUCCGGCUGGGCACUCUGGAGAGACUGCCCGGGAUAACCGGGAGGAAGGCGGGGAUGACGUCAAAUCAUCAUGCCCCUUACGAUCUGGGCUACACACGUGCUACAAUGGCGGUGACAAAGGGAAGCGAACCCGUGAGGGGGAGCGAACCCCAGAAAAGCCGUCUCAGUUCGGAUUGUAGUCUGCAACUCGACUACAUGAAGCUGGAAUCGCUAGUAAUCGCGGAUCAGAAUGCCG
Molecule: ribosomal RNA, 401 nt
Filed under: uncultured bacterium
Lineage: Bacteria
Description: bacterial SSU rRNA
Rfam family: Bacterial small subunit ribosomal RNA
Source: RNAcentral